RNAcentral lists this long non-coding RNA (3282 nucleotides) under Populus trichocarpa (black cottonwood). RNAcentral's name for it is "long non-coding RNA (PTRI_LNC002011)". The record is from RNAcentral. Lineage: Eukaryota; Viridiplantae; Streptophyta; Magnoliopsida; Malpighiales; Salicaceae.
AGUUCUCCUACCCUCCAUCAAAAUGACACGGUCUUCUGUAGUAAUGAUGGCUAAGAAAGAAGAAGAACUGAAGGAAAUAAGGGCCAAGACAACUGAGGAAAUUAAUGAAGAGGUUGUUGAUCUUAAAGGUGAACUCUUGAUGCUUCGUCUUCAGAAAUCUACACGUAAUGAGUUCAAGUCUAGUGAGUUUCGCCGUAUGCGCAAAAGGGUAUCUCGCUUUCUCCCUUAUCCAUUGUUUUAUAUCUUUCUUCUUGCUUGCUAGUUCAAAUUAUGAAAUACUCGCUUCUGGUUUUGCCUUUAAAUUUCCAUGGAACGCUUGAAAUUUUGUUUCUUUUGAUUACUAUGUUGGUUUCUUAGUUGCUUGUUUUUGAGGCCGGAGUGAAUUGGAAAUAAUGAUGGCAACAAGUGUGCUUAGGGGGGGCGAAAUGGGAUUUCUGAGUUGUUUUGGAUAUUUCAGCUUCUGCUGUGUGGGGGGAGUAGGCUCCCUGGCCGCAUUGCAUCGUGAUUAGCUAGGACUGAAGUGUUUUUGGAUGCUCGUUGCAAUUUAAUUACUAGUAGGAGAUUGAUAUGAGAGGCUCUUGACUUUUGAUGUGAAGCCCUGUGAUUUCGUUGUACAACUUGAGUUUUAAGCCCUAAACAAUGGUUGAGUAAUCAAUGAGAUCAUAUAAUGGAAUCAGAUAACUUCAUUUCUACUUUCUGGUGUUUAUGGCUCCCUCCCCAUUUGUGAAAGAGGAAUUUUGAUACACCUUACUGUGGAGCCAUGAAAGUGUGGAAUGGGUUCCGUUUAUUUAUUUUUGUGUAGACCUUCCUUGCAUGUUUUUCUAUAUUUUAAUAGAUGACAAAGCUCAGAAGUUCUGGUAAACAAGUAAAAUAUGAGGCUCCUGCUUUUCUUUUAUACAACUCCCAACUUCUCUUUGUUUAAUAUGUUUUUUCCAUUGCUCUUUAGUUCAAAUUUGUUUGGUCAAUUAAUUGGAAAGGGUGUCUUGGGUAUCUGAAUCGCUAAUGGCAACAAGAAUACUUAAGCAGAAGGGAAUGCAAUUUUUUUGGGACAUUUUAGGUUUUUCUUUGUAGAAGGACUAGAAUACAUCACUGUAUUGCGUGGUUGUAAUUUGUAAGUGUUAUGUCUGAAAUAGUUUCUGCGGGAACUGAUGUUUUGGAUACUUCUUACAAUUUAACAAACACAAAAUUUUCUGAAAAAGGGAAGUAAGGGAUUUAUAAUAGAGGUGGAAGCUUGGUUUUUGAGGUGCAUACCUCUAUGCUUCAAUCUUUAUUCUGUAGAAAUGUCAAUGGAUGGCUUGAGUGUGACUUCUAUGGUGGAUUUUGGCUGUCUAGUUAUCAUGUCAACGGUAACCAGCAGAAUAAUUUUAGUUGGAGCAAUCAUCGAAGCAUAUUUCCAAUUUGGAUAUCAUCAACUUUAUUUUACUCGCUGAUGUUCUUGGCCCAGCAUUAUGAAUGAGAGGAAUUCCAUUAACAAUGUGGAAUUUGUGCCUUUUGUUUUUCAUAACACCUUCCCACCAUUUCCUUCUAUAUUUGAUAAAUAAAUAAACAUAAAGUUUUGGUAGAUGCAUGAAACAUGAGCACUUGUUGUUUUUCUCGCACGCUUUUCUUUUUUCUGUUGGAUAACCAGACAUACUUUCUUUAAACCAUUUGCUGCUUGUAUGUAUGACCUAAUAUCAUGGCUUUCUAAGUCCUCGUCAGUAAUUUAUCUUGCCAUGGAAUUCUUAUGUAAAUGAUUAAGUUGGAAAGUGUGGUUUCAUUUCGUUCCAUUAUCUUCCAUUUUUUGUUUUAAGUCUUUGGGGUUGCUGUAUUUCUGGAUUUGGUAGUAUAUUGUUACCUUGGUUGCAACCUCGAAACAUGCUAAUGUAAAUGUUGUUAUUCUUGCCCUGUCUGCCAUCUAGUAAUCAGGGAUCUUCUUUGAAACAAUGAGAAUAGUAAUAUUCGAAUGCAUUAUCAAGGUAAGGAGUCAAAUUUUUCUGCAGGUCACCUUAAACUACCUGUGUAUUUUACACGUACUCUUUAAAAGGGAGAAUGGUUCUAGAGGUUGACAGUCUGGCACUUGGAUGGAAAUCCAAAUGGUCACUAGCAUAAGUCCAUGCAAUAUGUGUCAGACUGAAAGGCAGAAACUUACCGUACUAUUUAUUUCAUGUCCAUGGCAUGAAGUUGAAUACAAUGAGGCUCCUGGAUGUAUUAUGGGACUGGGGCAUACAGUUUAAGAAAUAGUUUAAGGCCAUGACAUGCUACAGUACAGUAUGGAGUGACAAUGACUCUCUGCAAUUCGUGUAGCUAUUCUUCUACCGAGUGUCAUUGGUUGCAUGCCUACUGAAAUAUAAAUGACCCAUAUGGUAUAUCCCUGACUAGUGCAGAAAGGUGAAAUGGGUCUAUCUGUCAGCAAAUGUCUGGGAUAAGGCUGCGAGAACUUAAUUAUGCUCCAAGGAAUAACUGGGCGGGGGAGUAAGAGGACUGGCCAAAGGCAAAAUGAUGCUUCUAAGUGUGUAUUUCAACUCAAUGGUUUUUGAUGGGUAGUCUUGUGUAUGUACUAUUUAACAUAAAGUUGGAGCUGUACAUUUAAUGGUCAUGACACCAUGGCAAUCAAUAAAUCCCAUCUAAAUCAUUUGCUUGCUGACAUAUAUUCGGCAGCCUAAUUUGCUGGAGAUAUAAUUGCAUCCUUUUGAAAUUGCUUAGAGAUUUUUUGUUCUUCCUGUGGCUGGAGAUAUGUUAUGUGCUAUGUGCCUUAUUAAGUACUAGUUUGUGCAGUCAAGCAGCAAGCCAGAUGGGGAUAUGACUAGAUGCCACCUUUACUUGUAACUAAGAUGUGGUGAAAUGGCUGCUGUGUUCAAGUAUUUUGUAGGUUCCCAUUUUCCACAUUUUCACUUUCAUGCGUUUUCUGUGUGCUCAUCACAUAUUUUAUUAAAAUACUGAAGUUCAUUUAUCAUUCUGAACCUUUUUCUGCGAGAAUGAUGUGCCUUUUCACAGUGAAGUUCGCAGCCGAUGCUUCAAGGCUAAAAGUAGUACCCUCCCUCGUAAUUCAGUAUUGACUGAGUGUGUUUUAUUGAUUGCAGAUUGCUCGCAUGCUUACUGUUAAGCGGGAAAGAGAGAUUGUGGAGGGGGUUGGGAAGAGGCUGUCAAGAAAGUUGGACAGGCAAUGGAAGAGAAGCAUUGUUGUUAGACCACCUCCAUCCUUGAAGAAAUUGCAAGAGGAAGAGGCAGCUGCAGAAGCUGAAAAAUCUGCUUGAGCCAAUUGUAUUGUAUUAUUCCUCAAUGAAUUUGAUGUAAUUUCAUGAC